Molecule: long non-coding RNA, 401 nt
Organism: Syngnathus acus (greater pipefish)
Lineage: Eukaryota; Metazoa; Chordata; Actinopteri; Syngnathiformes; Syngnathidae
Exons: 3
Source: RefSeq, a predicted model, not a curated record
CGGCGAGGGAGCACUACAAAUUCAUGAACACUCGCGCACACGCAGGGAUAGAGACACGGGCAGGCACGCGGUGUGAACGAAAAGGGUGCUGGUGGAGGAGGUAGACGAUGGUGUUUGGUGUUGAUGGGGCGGUAGGGGUCCCUUGGAUGCCAGGGUGAAAAUUACACAGCCUCCUCGGUGGGUUUGGGGAGCCGGCAGACCUCAUCAAGCAGCAGAACAACUCCUCGGAGAUGCAGAGGUUCAACUCGGCUAAUGGACAGAGGAUGGUCCGAAUCCCUGAGAGAGGAUAUUCAUCAGGCCCAUCGCUAACCCAAUCAGCAAUUGUUGCAUUUAAAGAUAUAUUUGGGGAAAUUUUAUGGGAAUAAUGUCAAAUGUGGAAAAUAUUUGUCUUUCCGAAAAAU